RNAcentral lists this ribosomal RNA (398 nucleotides) under uncultured bacterium. RNAcentral's name for it is "bacterial SSU rRNA". It matches the Rfam family "Bacterial small subunit ribosomal RNA", at positions 358 to 773 of the family's 1533-position model. The record is from RNAcentral.
GGAAUAUUGGACAAUGGGCGCAAGCCUGAUCCAGCAAUGCCGCGUGAGUGAAGAAGGCCUUAGGGUUGUAAAGCUCUUUCGUCAGGGAAGAUAAUGACGGUACCUGAAGAAGAAGCCCCGGCUAACUCCGUGCCAGCAGCCGCGGUAAUACGGAGGGGGCUAGCGUUGUUCGGAAUUACUGGGCGUAAAGCUGACGUAGGCGGAUGUACAAGUUGGGGGUGAAAGCCCAGGGCUCAACCCUGGAACUGCCUUCAAAACUGUAUGUCUUGAGUUCGAGAGAGGUAAGGGGAAUUCCUAGUGUAGAGGUGAAAUUCGUAGAUAUUAGGAAGAACACCGGUGGCGAAGGCGCCUUACUGGCUCGAUACUGACGCUGAGGUGCGAAAGCGUGGGGAGCAAAC